RNAcentral lists this ribosomal RNA (3673 nucleotides) under Parcubacteria group bacterium GW2011_GWA2_53_21. The record is from RNAcentral.
UGAGAGUUUGAUCCUGGCUCAGGGUGAACGCUGGCGGCGUGUCUAAGGCAUGCAAGUCGAACGAUUCAAUCGAGUUUCCGCAAGGAAAUUUUGUUGGAUAGUGGCGAACGGGUGAGUAACACCUUGGUAACCUACCUCCGAGUGGGGUAUAACUCCGCGAAAGCGGAGCUAAUCCUCCAUGCGCUCCAUUAUUACCUAUAGUGGAGCAAAGGCCCCGCCUUUGGCGGGAUCGCUCGGAGAGGGGCCUAGGUCCCAUCAGCUAGUUGGUAGGGUAAUGGCCUACCAAGGCAAUGACGGGUAGCCGGUGUGAGAGCACGGUCGGCCUCACUGGGACUGAGAUACUGCCCAGACACCUACGGGUGGCUGCAGUCGAGAAUCUUCCCCAAUGGCCGCAAGGCUGAGGGAGCGACGCCGCGUGCAGGAUGAAGCCCUUCGGGGUGUAAACUGCUUUUGGUGGGGAGCAAGCUGCCGUACCUCAUUGCAUUCGGUACGGAAUUUCCAAUUUCCAAUUUCCAAUUUCCAAAUAAAUCCCAAUUACCAAAGUUCAAACAAUCGAAACAUCAUUUCGUGCUUUGAAUUUCGGAAUUUGAAUUUAUUUGGGAUUUGGGAUUUGGGAUUUGGGAUUUCCGCCAUACCGAGCGCAGUGAGGUGCGGCGGUUGAGAGUACCCACAGAAUAAGGACCUGCUAAACUCGUGCCAGCAGCCGCGGUAAUACGAGUGGUCCAAGCGUUACCCGGAUUUAUUGGGCGUAAAGCGUCCGCAGGCGGUCUGCCGCAUCUUCGGUUAAAUCCCGAUGCUCAACAUCGGGAUCGCCGGAGCGAUGGGCGGACUCGAGGCCGGGAGAGGGGAACGGAAUUGCCGGUGUAGGAGUAAAAUCCGUUAAUAUCGGCAAGAACGCCAAAGGCGAAAGCAGUUCCCUGGAACGGCCCUGACGCUCAUGGACGAAAGCGUGGGGAGCGAAUGGGAUUAGAUAAAUCCCGGUUCCGAUAUUAUAUCGGAACGAAUGGUGUCCCCUCCGAUGGCGACAUCGGGGAGUGCAUCCAGCUGUAUCGGGGAAACUCCAAAAAGUUGGGUCUACUACUGCCCAUUUGGACAAUCCCGAGGGAAGUCCGACUCGAAAUUUCGACAUAUCGGUAUUUCGCGUUGGACCCCGUAGAGACUAUGAAGUUGAUUGUGACAGAGGGUGUAAUAUUUCAUUUAUGAAUCACUACACACCCUUGUCUGAAAAUACGCGGGUCCUACUAUUAGGCUCGCUCCUUGGCGAUGGAUCUUUGAAGAUCCAUCCCUUGUACAAAAAUGCCCGUUUUUCGUUUCGCCAUUCUCACGCACAACAGCACUAUUUCAUGUGGAAGGUUGCGCAAUUGGAAGAAAUAUCGUCUGACAAGUGUAUGUGGCAGCAAACAAAAAACGGCUCCGACGGAUGGGGUACCGUUAAGUGGCGAUACCAAAGCAUGGCAUUGCCGGCUUUGACUGAACUAUUUAACCUCACUCAUCAUCACGGUAAAUUUUUAAUAAGAAGGAAGUGGCUCAAUCUGUUGACCCCGUUGUCGCUUGCGAUAUGGUGGCAGGACGACGGAUCGAUUAUCGCCAACGGCAGGAAGGGGGUAUUGUGCACUGAAGGUUUUACUCAACCGGAGGUGCAGCUGCUUCGGCAAUACCUCAAGGCUGUGUGGCACAUCGAAACGGUUGUUGCGCCGAAAAGCGCACGCGAGCCGAGUAAAGUCAGAUUGUGGUUUCGUUCUUCAGAACAGCUGCAAUCAUUUAUGAGGAUCAUAAUGCCGCAUAUUGCGGUUGAACAAAUGAUUCCCAAAUUUAUCCUUCUGUACCAUAAUCAUCAACUUCAGCAACGCUGGAUCUCUGAGGUAGCUCGGUUGUCUCGAUUUCCUUUAUCUGCGGUAGAAAAGCAUUUUCAACAGAAAAAGGAACGAUGGAAGGAAUACCGAAAUGCAUCAGAGAAUGAUAUAGUCCAACCUCUGCGGUAACGUAGAGAAUAAAUUGACCCCAGUAGUCCACGCUGUAAACGAUGGGUACUGGACAUUGGAAGUGUCGACCCUUCCAGUGUCGUUGUUUGUAAGCUCACGCAUUAAGUACCCCGCCUGGGGAGUACGGUCGCAAGACUAAAACUCAAAGGAAUUGACGGGAACCCGCACAAGCGGUGGAGCAUGUGGUUCAAUUCGACGGUAAGCGAGGAACCUUACCAGGGCUUGACAUGAUGCUGCAAGCGCACGGAAACGUGUGACCUUCGAGGGUGCAUCACAGGUGCUGCAUGGCUGUCGUCAGCUCGUGUCGUGAGAUGUACCGUUAAGUCGGGUAACGAGCGCAACCCCUACGAUGUGUUACUUCGUGUCACAUCGAACUGCCUCGGUUAACGGGGAGGAAGGUGGGGAUGACGUCAAGUCAGCAUGGCCCUUACGUCCUGGGCUACACACGUGCUACAAUGGGGCGCACAAUGGGGCGCCAAGGAGCAAUCCGGAGCAAAUCCCAUCAAAACGCCCCCCAGUUCAGAUUGAGGGCUGCAACCCGCCCUCAUGAAGCAGGAAUCGCUAGUAACCGCGGAUCAGCCUCGCCGCGGUGAAUACGUUCUCGGGUUUUGUACACGGACCGCUUGGUAGCGGACAAUUAAUGCCGGUGAAAAUCCGGCCAAACUUCGAUGAAGAGUUUGAAGCAAUGGACACGCUAAAGCUCGUGAGGGCUUUAACGAGAGUUCGGAUGCAGUUUUUAGCGCGAAUCAAUUGUGGCAUGCAUUAUGGAUGACCCCGCGUGUACAGGGGGAAAUCAUUCAUUGAUGAAAAAGUAAUGUAUGUGAUUAGGAUCGCGAUGAAGACAAACAUUAUUGUCCGUGACCCAAGGAGAUCUUGUACUUUCUAUCGAACGGUGACAUAAUAUACUCGUGGUUAAUUCAUCACGAGUACAUGUAUCUACCAUCGAUGGCGGAUUGCCUGGUAACAGACAUUCUAUGCAGUACAAGAAGUCAGCAGAGCGCAUAGUACUCAGAAAACUUUCUGGGGAAGGCGUGAACCCAAAUUAUCGCUUUCGUCCGCUGCCCCCGCAGUAUGUGGUAGGAUUUGUAGAUGGGGAAGGCAGUUUUUCAGUGAGCACCAACAUUCACAAGACGCUCAAACGGAAAGUAGAAAUUCGUCCUGAGUUUGAAAUCGAGUUACGCGCAGAUGAUGCCGCUGUUCUUUUCCGCAUUCAACGAACACUAGGUUGCGGCAAAAUAUAUUUUCUCGACUACAAGCGAUACGGAUGGAAGCCGCACGCGAAACUCCGCGUGAGUAAGAUCAAUGACUUGAGCGGAAGAGUGGUGCCUUUCUUCCUUAAGUAUCAACUUCAGUCUAAGAAGAGUAGUUCUUUCAAUAUAUUUAGAAAAGCGGUGGAGAUGGUUGCGAAGAAAGAGCAUCUGACUGAAAAGGGAUACAAGAAAAUUCUCGCAUUGCGAGAGAAAAAUAGGAGGAACGGUAAGAAAGCGUCAAAGAUAUUUGGGAACCGCUAGGGUACGGGAAAGCCGUUUGCCCAGUGGUGUGGGACAUAUGAUCCCCCUACCGCCCGUCACGCCAAGGGAGCCGGCAAUACCCGAAGCCCCCGCAUUUGCGGGGAUCAAGGUAGGGUCGGUGACAGGGGCGAAGUCGUAACAAGGCACCGGUAGCGGAAGCUGUCGGUGGAUCACCUCCUU